Molecule: ribosomal RNA, 253 nt
Filed under: uncultured bacterium
Lineage: Bacteria
Description: partial 16S ribosomal RNA
Rfam family: Bacterial small subunit ribosomal RNA
Source: RNAcentral
UACGUAGGUGGCAAGCGUUGUCCGGAUUUAUUGGGUUUAAAGGGUGCGUAGGCGGUUUAUUAAGUCAGUGGUGAAAUACUUCAGCUUAACUGGAGAGGUGCCAUUGAUACUGAUGAACUUGAGUACAGUCGAAGUAGGCGGAAUGGACGGUGUAGCGGUGAAAUGCAUAGAUAUCGUCCAGAACACCGAUAGUGAAGACAGCUUACUAGGCUGUAACUGACGCUGAGGCACGAAAGUGUGGGGAUCAAACAGG